RNAcentral lists this ribosomal RNA (118 nucleotides) under Lachnospiraceae bacterium. Lineage: Bacteria; Bacillati; Bacillota; Clostridia; Lachnospirales; Lachnospiraceae. The record is from RNAcentral.
UCCGGUUACGAUACGUCUGAUGGAAACACCCGUUCCCAUCUCGAACACGACGGUUAAGCAUCAGGCGGCCGAAGAUUCUACACUGGUAACGGUGUGGUAAAAUAGGUGGUAGCCGGUU